RNAcentral lists this small RNA (29 nucleotides) under Bombyx mori (domestic silkworm). Its description in RNAcentral is "ovarian small RNA-1258". The record is from RNAcentral. Lineage: Eukaryota; Metazoa; Arthropoda; Insecta; Lepidoptera; Bombycidae.
UUUACGUUGGGACUCAUCAAUUAAAAUAC